GUCUACACCCAUGCUACCCUGAAUGCACCCAAUCUUGUCUGAUCUUGGAAGCUAAGCAGAGUUGGGGCUGGUUAGUACUUGGAUGGGAGAAUAGAAGAAAUUGUGAAGA
This 109-nucleotide ribosomal RNA is filed under the name Castor canadensis (American beaver). Lineage: Eukaryota; Metazoa; Chordata; Mammalia; Rodentia; Castoridae. The record is from RNAcentral.